AUUGAACGCUGGCGGCAGGCCUAACACAUGCAAGUCGAACGGUAGCACAGAGAGCUUGCUCUCGGGUGACGAGUGGCGGACGGGUGAGUAACGUCUGGGAAACUGCCCGAUGGAGGGGGAUAACUACUGGAAACGGUAGCUAAUACCGCAUAACGUCGCAAGACCAAAGUGGGGGACCUUCGGGCCUCACACCAUCGGAUGUGCCCAGAUGGGAUUAGCUAGUAGGUGGGGUAAUGGCUCACCUAGGCGACGAUCCCUAGCUGGUCUGAGAGGAUGACCAGCCACACUGGAACUGAGACACGGUCCAGACUCCUACGGGAGGCAGCAGUGGGGAAUAUUGCACAAUGGGCGCAAGCCUGAUGCAGCCAUGCCGCGUGUACGAAGAAGGCCUUCGGGUUGUAAAGUACUUUCAGCGGGGAGGAAGGCGAUAAGGUUAAUAACCUUGUCGAUUGACGUUAUCCGCAGAAGAAGCACCGGCUAACUCCGUGCCAGCAGCCGCCGUAA
This 504-nucleotide ribosomal RNA is filed under the name uncultured bacterium. RNAcentral describes it as "partial 16S ribosomal RNA". It matches the Rfam family "Bacterial small subunit ribosomal RNA", at positions 30 to 523 of the family's 1533-position model. The record is from RNAcentral.